GAGAAAUUAGUUAACUUAUAACACUACCUUGUCAAGGUAAAAUAACGGACUAAACCUCCGUACUUCUCU
Molecule: transfer RNA, 69 nt
Filed under: Dendrobates tinctorius (dyeing poison frog)
Lineage: Eukaryota; Metazoa; Chordata; Amphibia; Anura; Dendrobatidae
Description: tRNA-Asp
Source: RNAcentral